GUGAUAGAAAGGUCAUGGUGAUAGGAAGGUGAUAGUGAUCGUGAUAGAAAGGAGAUGGAUAGUGAAAGUGAUAGAAAGGUGAUAGUGAUAGAAAGGUGAUAGAUAGUAAUGGUGAUAGAAAGGUCAUAGUGAUAGGAAGGAGACGGAUAGUGAUUGUGAUAGAAAGGCGACAGAUAGUGAAAGUGAUAGAAAGGAGACAGAUAGUGAAAGUGAUAGAAAGGAGACGGACAGUGAUUGUGAUAGAAAGGAGACAGAUAGUGAAAGUGAUAGAAAGGAGACGGACAGUGAUUGUGAUAGAAAGGAGACAGAUAGUGAAAGUGAUAGAAAGGAGACGGACAGUGAUUGUGAUAGAAAGGUGACGGACAGUGAUUGUGAUAGAUAGAAAGAUGAUAGUGAUAGAAAGGUGAUGAAUAGUGAUAGAAAGGUGAUAGAUAGUUAUCGUGAUAGAAAGGUGAUAGUGAUUGUGAUAGAAAGGUGAUAGAUACAGAUAGUGAUAGAAAGGUGAUAGUGAUAGAAAGGUGAUGGAUAGUGAUAGAAAGGUGAUAGAAAGGUGACAGUGAUUGUGAUAGAAAG
Molecule: long non-coding RNA, 573 nt
Organism: Ictalurus punctatus (channel catfish)
Lineage: Eukaryota; Metazoa; Chordata; Actinopteri; Siluriformes; Ictaluridae
Source: Ensembl